CAGAGGGUGCAAGCGUUGUUCGGAAUUAUUGGGCGUAAAGGGAGUGUAGGCGGUUAGUUAAGUCUUCUGUGAAAGCUGCGGGCUUAGCCUGCAAAGUGCAGAGGAAACUGGCUGACUUGAGUGUCGGAGAGGAUAGGGGAAUACCCAGUGUAGAGGUGAAAUUCGUAGAGAUUGGGUGGAACACCAGUGGCGAAGGCGCCUGUCUGGCUGACAACUGACGCUGAGACUCGAAAGCAUGGGGGAGCAAACAGGAUUAGAUACCCUGGUAGUCCAUGCCGUAAACGAUGAUAGCUAGAUGUGUGUGGUAUUGACCCCAUACGUGUCGAAGCAAACGCGAUAAGCUAUCCGCCUGGGGAGUACGGUCGCAAGAUUA
Molecule: ribosomal RNA, 373 nt
Filed under: uncultured organism
Description: bacterial SSU rRNA
Rfam family: Bacterial small subunit ribosomal RNA
Source: RNAcentral